Molecule: ribosomal RNA, 482 nt
Filed under: uncultured bacterium
Lineage: Bacteria
Description: partial 16S ribosomal RNA
Rfam family: Bacterial small subunit ribosomal RNA
Source: RNAcentral
AUUGAACGCUGGCGGCAUGCCUUACACAUGCGAGUCGAACGGUAACGGGCCUUCGGGUGCCGACGAGUGGCGAACGGGUGAGUAAUACAUCGGAACGUGCCCGAUCGUGGGGGAUAACGAGGCGAAAGCUUUGCUAAUACCGCAUACGAUCUACGGAUGAAAGCAGGGGACCGCAAGGCCUUGCGCGGACGGAGCGGCCGAUGGCAGAUUAGGUAGUUGGUGGGAUAAAAGCUUACCAAGCCGACGAUCUGUAGCUGGUCUGAGAGGAUGAUCAGCCACACUGGGACUGAGACACGGCCCAGACUCCUACGGGAGGCAGCAGUGGGGAAUGUUGGACAAUGGGCGCAAGCCUGAUCCAGCCAUGCCGCGUGCAGGAUGAAGGCCUUCGGGUUGUAAACUGCUUUUGUACGGAACGAAAAGCCUUCUUUUAAUACAGGAGGGUCAUGACGGUACCGUAAGAAUAAGCACCGGCUAACUACGUG